GAUGAACGCUGGCGGCGUGCCUAAUACAUGCAAGUCGAGCGAUCAGACGAGGAGCUUGCUCCUCUGACGUUAGCGGCGGACGGGUGAGUAACACGUGGAUAACCUACCUAUAAGACUGGGAUAACUUCGGGAAACCGGAGCUAAUACCGGAUAAUAUAUUGAACCGCAUGGUUCAAUAGUGAAAGACGGUUUUGCUGUCACUUAUAGAUGGAUCCGCGCCGCAUUAGCUAGUUGGUAAGGUAACGGCUUACCAAGGCAACGAUGCGUAGCCGACCUGAGAGGGUGAUCGGCCACACUGGAACUGAGACACGGUCCAGACUCCUACGGGAGGCAGCAGUAGGGAAUCUUCCGCAAUGGGCGAAAGCCUGACGGAGCAACGCCGCGUGAGUGAUGAAGGUCUUCGGAUCGUAAAACUCUGUUAUUAGGGAAGAACAAAUGUGUAAGUAACUAUGCACGUCCUGACGGUACCUAAUCAGAAAGCCACGGCUAACUACGUG
Molecule: ribosomal RNA, 497 nt
Filed under: uncultured bacterium
Lineage: Bacteria
Description: partial 16S ribosomal RNA
Rfam family: Bacterial small subunit ribosomal RNA
Source: RNAcentral